AUCGCUUCUCGGCCUUUUGGCUAAGAUCAAGUGUAGGAUCCUCAAGGAGUUCAGAAGUGGAAACUGUAACUCAAUAACAAUAAUAAUAAUAAUAACUGUUAUAAACAAGUUGAUUUUGCCUUUUUUCUCUCAUAAUUUUAUCCUCAGUGCUCGGAGUGCCUGACAUCCUAAAAUUUAUCAGUAAAUAUU
Molecule: small nuclear RNA, 189 nt
Filed under: Sus scrofa (pig)
Lineage: Eukaryota; Metazoa; Chordata; Mammalia; Artiodactyla; Suidae
Description: U2 spliceosomal RNA (ENSSSCG00045033527.1, ENSSSCG00050030379.1, ENSSSCG00065032492.1)
Rfam family: U2 spliceosomal RNA (bases 1-146)
About the family: U2 is a small nuclear RNA (snRNA) component of the spliceosome (involved in pre-mRNA splicing). Complementary binding between U2 snRNA (in an area lying towards the 5' end but 3' to hairpin I) and the branchpoint sequence (BPS) of the intron results the bulging out of an unpaired adenosine, on the BPS, which initiates a nucleophilic attack at the intronic 5' splice site, thus starting the first of two transesterification reactions that mediate splicing.
Source: RNAcentral